CAGUCAACUUCGAAAAGGUAUGAGUUGGAUGAUCUUCAGCAGCUUCCUUCGAGAUGGUAUGAAUUUUAGGACCAAGAAUUUCAUUAACAAAAAUGGUUCCCCCAAAA
Non-coding RNA from Onthophagus taurus, 107 nucleotides. The record is from RefSeq and is a predicted model, not a curated record. Lineage: Eukaryota; Metazoa; Arthropoda; Insecta; Coleoptera; Scarabaeidae.